Molecule: ribosomal RNA, 574 nt
Filed under: uncultured bacterium
Lineage: Bacteria
Description: bacterial SSU rRNA
Rfam family: Bacterial small subunit ribosomal RNA
Source: RNAcentral
CUGGCGGCGUGCUAACACAUGCAAGUCGAACGAGAAAGUGGAGCAAUCCAUGAGUACAGUGGCGUACGGGUGAGUAACACGUGACUAACCUACCCUCGAGUGGGGAAUAACCUCGGGAAACCGGGGCUAAUACCGCAUAACAUCUACGGAUCAAAUGCGUAAGCAGCUUGAGGAGGGGGUCGCGGCUGAUUAGCUAGUUGGCGGGGUAAUGGCCCACCAAGGCGGUGAUCAGUAGCCGGCCUGAGAGGGCGCACGGCCACACUGGAACUGAAACACGGUCCAGACUCCUACGGGAGGCAGCAGUGGGGAAUUUUGCGCAAUGGGGGAAACCCUGACGCAGUAACGCCGCGUGAAGGAUGAAGCCCCUUGGGGUGUAAACUCCUUUCGAUCGGGACGAUUAUGACGGUACCGGAUGAAGAAGCACCGGCUAACUCUGUGCCAGCAGCCGCGGUAAUACAGAGGGUGCAAGCGUUGUUCGGAAUUAUUGGGCGUAAAGGGUGCGUAGGCGGUGCGGUAAGUCUUCUGUGAAACCUCCGGGCUUAACUCGGAGCCUGCAGAGGAAACUGCCGUGCUG